UCGACCUGAACUCAGACAUGAACACCCGCUGAACUUAAGCAUAUCAGUAAGCGGAGGAAAAGAAACUAACGAGGAUUCCCUUAGUAACCGAAGUGAAAA
This 99-nucleotide ribosomal RNA is filed under the name Heteroderidae sp. WK2. RNAcentral's name for it is "partial 28S ribosomal RNA". It matches the Rfam family "Eukaryotic large subunit ribosomal RNA", at positions 1 to 99 of the family's 3401-position model. Lineage: Eukaryota; Metazoa; Nematoda; Chromadorea; Rhabditida; Heteroderidae. The record is from RNAcentral.